RNAcentral lists this transfer RNA (75 nucleotides) under Caenorhabditis briggsae. Its description in RNAcentral is "tRNA CBG28881". It matches the Rfam family "tRNA". Rfam says of the family: Transfer RNA (tRNA) molecules are approximately 80 nucleotides in length. Their secondary structure includes four short double-helical elements and three loops (D, anti-codon, and T loops). The record is from Rfam by way of RNAcentral. Lineage: Eukaryota; Metazoa; Nematoda; Chromadorea; Rhabditida; Rhabditidae.
GCUUCCGUAGCGCAGUAGGCAGCGCGUCAGUCUCAUAACCUUGCAAGGUCGUGAGUUCGAGCCUCAUCGGGAGCA